GACGAACGCUGGCGGCGUGCCUAAUACAUGCAAGUCGAACGCUGAAGGAGGAUCUUGCUUCUCCGGAUGAGUUGCGAACGGGUGAGUAACGCGUAGGUAACCUGCCUGGUAGAGGGGGAUAACUCUUGGAAACGAUAGCUAAUACCGCAUAACAGUAGAUAUCGCAUGAUAUCUGCUUGAAAGGUGCAAUUGCAUCACUACCAGAUGGACCUGCGUUGUAUUAGCUAGUUGGUGAGGUAACGGCUCACCAAGGCGAGGAUACAUAGCCGACCUGAGAGGGUGAGCGGCCACACUGGGACUGGGACACGGCCCAGACGCCUACGGGAGGCAGCAGUAGGGAAUCUUCGGCAAUGGACGGAAGUCUGACCGAGCAACGACGCGUGAGUGAAGAAGGUUGUCGGAUCGUAAAGCGCUGUUGUAAGAGAAGAACGAGUGUGGGAGUGGGAAGUUCACACUGUGACGGUAUCUUACCAGAAAGGGACGGCUAACUACGUG
RNAcentral lists this ribosomal RNA (495 nucleotides) under uncultured bacterium. Its description in RNAcentral is "partial 16S ribosomal RNA". It matches the Rfam family "Bacterial small subunit ribosomal RNA", at positions 28 to 507 of the family's 1533-position model. The record is from RNAcentral.